CCCUUAGAUGUUCUGGGCUGCACGCGCGCUACACUGAUGCGUUCAACGAGUGUACACCUUACUCGAGAGGGUUGGAUAAUCUUUUGAAAACGCAUCGUGAUGGGGAUAGAUUAUUGUAAUUAUUAAUCUUCAACGAGGAAUUCCUAGUAAGGGCCAAUCAUCAGUUGGUCCUGAUUACGUCCCUGCCCUUUGUACACACCGCCCGUCGCUCCUACCGAUUGAAUGUUCCGAUGAAUACCAUGGACUGAGAGUAUGAAUGGGUUCGCCUAUUUCUGCUUCUCGGGAAGUGGAGUAAAUCUUAACAUUUAGAGGAAGGAGAAGUCGUAACA
This 329-nucleotide ribosomal RNA is filed under the name uncultured eukaryote. RNAcentral describes it as "partial 18S ribosomal RNA". It matches the Rfam family "Eukaryotic small subunit ribosomal RNA", at positions 1470 to 1796 of the family's 1831-position model. The record is from RNAcentral.